Molecule: non-coding RNA, 124 nt
Filed under: Platyophrya macrostoma
Lineage: Eukaryota; Ciliophora; Colpodea; Cyrtolophosidida; Platyophryidae
Source: RNAcentral
AAAUUGAAAUAGAGAAAAAAAAAGAAAAAAGAACAGAGGGCGGAGGUGAAGGUCACGUGGGGGUCCGGGGAAAAUCAGGUGCAUCUCUCCUUUUUCAAUUCCUCGAUUUUGAUUUUGUGUGUGU